Molecule: ribosomal RNA, 228 nt
Filed under: uncultured bacterium
Lineage: Bacteria
Description: partial 16S ribosomal RNA
Rfam family: Bacterial small subunit ribosomal RNA
Source: RNAcentral
UGGGUGACCUGCCCUCAGCUCUGAGAUAAGCCCGAGAAAUUGGGUCUAAUACCGGAUAUGACCUUUCCUCGCAUGGGGUUUGGUGGAAAGUUUUUUCGGCUGGGGAUGGGCCCGCGGCCUAUCAGCUUGUUGGUGGGGUGAUGGCCUACCAAGGCGACGACGGGUAGCCGGCCUGAGAGGGCGACCGGCCACACUGGGACUGAGACACGGCCCAGACUCCUACGGGAG